AGAGUUUGAUCCUGGCUCAGAGUGAACGUUGGCGGCGUGGAUUAGGCAUGCAAGUCGAACGCGAAAGUUCCUUCGGGAAUAAGUAGCGUGGCGAGAGGGGCAGUAAGGCAUAAGUAACCUACCCUUCGGACCGGGAUAUACGGUGGAAACGCCGGGCAAUACUGGACAUCGUCCUUGGAAGGCAUCUUCUGAUGAUGAAAUGGUCUGCCGCCGGGGGAGGGGCUUAUGUGCUACCAGCUUGUUGGUGAGGUAAUGGCUCACCAAGGCUACGACGGCUAGGGGGUGUGAGGGCACGAUCCCCGCCACUGGGACUGAGAACUGCCCAGACUCCUACGGGAGGCUGCAGUCGAGAAUCUUCGGCAAUGGGGGCAACCCUGACCGAGCGACGCCGCGUGGUGGUAGAAGACCUUCGGGUUGUAAACACCUGUUGGGGGGGAGCAAUUUUGAGUGAACCCCUGAGGAAGCACGGGCUAAGUUCGUGCCAGCAGCCGCGGUAAGACGAACCGUGCAAACGUUACUCGGAAUCACUGGGCUUAAAGCGUACGUAGGCGGCGUCAUAAGUCAGAGGUGAAAUCCCAUCGGCUCAACCGUGGAAUUGCCUCUGAUACUGUGACGCUUGAGGGAGAACGGGGCAUUCGGAACUUCCGGUGGAGCGGUGAAAUGUGUUGAUAUCGGAAGGAACGCCGGUGGCGAAAGCGGAAUGCUGGGUCUCAACUGACGCUGAGGUACGAAAGCUAGGGUAGCGAACGGGAUUAGAUACCCCGGUAGUCCUAGCCGUAAACGAUGAGCACUUGGUAGAA
RNAcentral lists this ribosomal RNA (800 nucleotides) under uncultured bacterium. Its description in RNAcentral is "bacterial SSU rRNA". It matches the Rfam family "Bacterial small subunit ribosomal RNA", at positions 8 to 825 of the family's 1533-position model. The record is from RNAcentral.